CUUCCCCCGCCAUUGUCCCUUUGUCCUUGAGAAGGGAACCAAGAUGUCCUUGGAGCCGCCUGGGAGAGGCAGGUGGGGGGGGAGAAAACAGCCACCACCUCCAGGCGCCCCUCGAUGCCCCCUUUUUUCCCUCCUCGGUAGGAAAGGCAGGGUUGAGCCUUGCGGUGUGUAUGUGGGGGUCCCGUCCCCCCAAGCCCCUAAUUCACAUAGGGGGUGGAGGGUGCCGAGUUAUAGGGAUUCCUGGGGCGGGACCUGAGAUCCGAGGAGAAAAGGGCGAGGAAAGCCCCAUUUCCUUCCUUUGUCUGGGUUUUUAUUUUUCGGGGGGUGGUGGAAAAGAGGUCGAAACCGACCCCCAUCUCGAGUUGCCUCUCCAGCAGGAAUUAGGGCGCCACGUAAGAGGAAGAAAAGCUUCGUCCUGUCACGCUUUACCUGUCUUCUUUUGGGUAUUCCGUGGAUGUUUAUCAUUUCUGUAACUAAUGGGUUUCAGAUGACCUGUACAGACUUAUUUUUUUGUUAAGAUUGCAUCAGGUUCUACUAACCAGGAAGAUUCAGGUGGAGUUAGAAGAGAGCAUGUUAACUGCUUCAGACACGUUAAAGAGCUGGAUGUGCAAAAUAUCUGAUGCUGACUGAAGCACUGAGACCAGACAAAGGAAGAAUCUUAAAGGGAGACAACGAGUUCCAAAUCAAGAUGGCAGUUCCACUGAUUGAGAGGUUGAGGAAUGAACUAAUGCAUGAUUGCUGAGUAUGUCCAGCCAAGAGGGGCACUUUAGCAUGGACCUUCAAUGUUACCUUAACCAGAGAAGAUUUGGGCUAAUGACCAUCCAAUACAUGGAUUUUAUUAAUUAAAUGAUUUCAAACUCUUGUAUUAGAACUUACUUGGGGUUGGGGAUGGAACUGUUUGAAUUUUCAAGCCAGGAAUGUAUGCAUAUGUUCGUCACCUAUUUACUUGGCAGAAGUGCGAUGCUAUUUUAAAUGGCUUAAAUAAAAGUGGUUUUUUUACAUUUUUA
Rhineura floridana is the source of this 1007-nucleotide long non-coding RNA. RefSeq lists it as uncharacterized. The record is from RefSeq and is a predicted model, not a curated record. NCBI's taxonomy places the organism in Eukaryota, Metazoa, Chordata, Lepidosauria, Squamata, Rhineuridae. The transcript is spliced from 5 exons.